Long non-coding RNA from Astatotilapia calliptera (eastern happy), 1668 nucleotides. The record is from Ensembl. Lineage: Eukaryota; Metazoa; Chordata; Actinopteri; Cichliformes; Cichlidae.
UCAAAAAAUAUGAUGAAAAUUGCCAGAGGAAAAAUAAUUAGACUGCAAAAUUUCUGUUUUAUGGCAACAGCUAUAUUCAUUUGUGGACUUCCUCACCGGUGUAAAACACAAAGUUCAAAGAGACGGAGUGCUUGAUUAUAUUAGAAGUUUUCCAAUAUAACUAACCUCAAAGUAACAAGUAUUGUGUGCACUCCGUUGCAAGCUUUAACUUGUUUAUUCUAACAAUACAGAAGAUGACUGAAAGAGAACAGACAUGCAAUCAAGAUGAUUUGCUCUUUCGUUUAUGUCUAAACUCCUCUUACCCUUCACCAACCCUCUUUCUCCACAUACUCAUAUGGACAGCCUUGAUGUCAAAGAGCAGAUAUAUUGAAAUCACACAAGUAGAAAUCAGUCUGAGGGUUGCAAUUAUCCGACAUAGGUGGCUAUUGAGUAAAGUGGCACAUACAUGCACAGGCAGAUGCUCACACAAAUACAUAAAAAUAGAGUUUAAACAACACAUAUCCCUUGCCAUUUAAACACAGGGUAGACAGAAAUUUGAAUUUGAAUUUGAAUUUGAAAGGUCGAGCAAAGAGAAACAAACUGGAUAUUAUGCAAAAAAGGUGUGCUUAAACUGUAGGUCUCUUAGUAAUGAUGGUUCUCCUGCAGACACGUCAGGAUAUUUCCUGAGUCAUGACAAAUAUGUUAGUUUACAGGAAGAAAACAUACAAUUUAUAUAUUCAUUUAUGCAGAACAAUUACAUGUAAUUAUUUUCAGCCAGGAAAAAAAAAAAAAAAAAAAAAAAAAAAUCUGCAGAUGAUACAUUACUGUACCUACUUAAUCAAGCUAUUAAAAAAAAAAACAAAAAAAAAAAAACAGCAUUUUGUCAUCCAUAAUCGGGUCACAUUUAUGCAAAUGCUCCUUACAACUUUAUUUAGACGCACCGAGGACAGUGACUGUAUUUGCAUGAUUUUCACCAUAUAUUGCACAAGACUUGAUGCACUUGCUUAAACCUAAUCUAAGAUACAGGUAACUCCUAGAAUAUGUAUAAUAUGUGAAACUAUAUUUUUUAGACAGACAGACAGAUCAUGUAAUGAAGGGCUGUCCAUGCAAGAAGAUUACACCCCUGCUUGUGUGUUGAUCAUAAUGGAGGGAAAGAGGUAUUCAAUGGUUGUAAAAGUGUGGCAGAUGGCUUUAUCUAUGCAAUGAUAAAUGCAUAGAUCCGUGUUCUUUUAAAGUUUUUGGAGCUAAAAUAAAUCUGCUAGGUCAAUGAUGAGAGCAUGAUGUUUUUCAACAAAUUUUGUGUACUAACCUUGCACUUUAAAAGAAUGUCUUUGUGGUUAGUAAAGGAAAAUUUAGUUGAGACUGAGCUCAUUUUUUAUGGCUAACAUUUUAAAUCUUCUUUUAAGGACAGAAGGUUUGAGUGUAUAACACUGUUAAUUAUUACUUAAAAUACUUAAAUGUAAUUGAAUGUUCUAUGUUACUGAAUGCAGUUAUAUAUCUUAAGUGUUAGUAUAACACUUUAAAAGGGAUUUUUUCUGGUAUUUCAUGGGGCAUUUUCUUAGUCCGUGUUCUUUUAAAGUUUUUGGAGCUAAAAUAAAUCUGCUAGGUCAAAUUUCUUAUUUACAAGUACUUGUUUAUCCAGUCAAAGACAUCAAAUCAGAGUCAUUUCUAAAGUUCUUUAGGAAUUCU